This 442-nucleotide unclassified non-coding RNA is filed under the name Hevea brasiliensis (rubber tree). Lineage: Eukaryota; Viridiplantae; Streptophyta; Magnoliopsida; Malpighiales; Euphorbiaceae. The record is from RNAcentral.
GUGAAUUCACUUAGAUUGUUCUCUGCAUUUAGAAUAGGAUUCCUUACUCUAUCAGACAUGGAACUCUUACAUUUACUUUGUGCAUGACAAGGUUAAGUAAUCAACUUUCAAGGUAAGUAAUAAAGCAGGGAAGAUAAUUAACAGGCAAAGGAAUGGUUUUUUGUACUACAGCCUUAUGUAUAAGAGUGUUGAAAAAUGAAGCUAAUAAUGUCUAAGUCCCAUAUGUGACUUGAAAUAUCUGGCAAUUAAUUCACAGGCAUUAGAUAAUAACCACUACAGCCAGUUGACAGCAAGUUGAUAAAAGUCAGCGAGUGACCUCAUGCAAAUGGAACUUUGCUUAUUGGCAAGUAAAUCACCAUAUUGUUACCACUAUCAACAAAAAAAAUUGGAGAAUGUUGAUGAAACCAAAUUAAGUCCUACCUCUUGAGUAUCUCUACUGUUA